UUUUUAGUUUAACUAUGUCCCAUGCAAUAUAUGGGACAUAUUUAUGCUAAAA
Pan troglodytes (chimpanzee) is the source of this 52-nucleotide microRNA precursor. It matches the Rfam family "mir-1302 microRNA precursor family". The record is from Rfam. Lineage: Eukaryota; Metazoa; Chordata; Mammalia; Primates; Hominidae.